RNAcentral lists this transfer RNA (70 nucleotides) under Dipodomys ordii (Ord's kangaroo rat). It matches the Rfam family "tRNA". Rfam says of the family: Transfer RNA (tRNA) molecules are approximately 80 nucleotides in length. Their secondary structure includes four short double-helical elements and three loops (D, anti-codon, and T loops). The record is from Rfam by way of RNAcentral. Lineage: Eukaryota; Metazoa; Chordata; Mammalia; Rodentia; Heteromyidae.
GGGAAUGUGGCUUAGUGGUAGAGUGCUUGCCUAGCAUGCAUGAAGUCCUGGGUUCGAUUCCUCAGUACUG